GUUUGGACAAUGGGCGCAAGCCUGAUCCAGCAAUGCCGCGUGAGUGAAGAAGGCCUUCGGGUUGUAAAGCUCUUUUGUCAGGGAAGAAACGGUGAGCUCUAAUACAGUUUGCUAAUGACGGUACCUGAAGAAUAAGCACCGGCUAACUACGUGCCAGCAGCCGCGGUAAUACGUAGGGUGCAAGCGUUAAUCGCAAUUACUGGGCGUAAAGCGUGCGCAGGCGGUUAUGUAAGUCAGAUGUGAAAUCCCCGGGCUCAACCUGGGAAUGGCAUUUGAGACUGCAUGGCUAGAGUGUGUCAGAGGGGGGUAGAAUUCCACGUGUAGCAGUGAAAAGGGUAGAGAUGGGAGGAAUACCGAUGGGGAAGGCAGCCCCCUGGGAUAACACUACGCUCAUCACAAAG
RNAcentral lists this ribosomal RNA (401 nucleotides) under uncultured bacterium. Its description in RNAcentral is "bacterial SSU rRNA". It matches the Rfam family "Bacterial small subunit ribosomal RNA", at positions 359 to 758 of the family's 1533-position model. The record is from RNAcentral.